CCUACGGGAGGCAGCAGUGGGGAAUAUUGCACAAUGGGGGAAACCCUGAUGCAGCGACGCCGCGUGGGGGAAGAAGGAUUUAGGUAUGUAAAGCUCUAUCAGCAGGGAAGAAAAUGACGGUACCUGAUGAAGAAGCACCGGCUAACUACGUGCCAGCAGCCGCGGUAAUACGUAGGGGGCAAGCGUUAUCCGGAUUUACUGGGGGUAAAGGGAGCGUAGACGGGAGCACAAGUCUGGAGUGAAAUGCCGGGGCUUAACCACGGAACUGCUUUGGAAACUGUGCAGCUAGAGUGCAGGAGAGGUAAGUGGAAUUCUUAGUGUAGGGGUGAAAUGCGUAGAUAUUAGGAGGAACACUAGUGGCGAAGGCGACUUACUGGACUGUAACUGACGUUGAGGCUCGAAAGCGUGGGGAGCAAACAGGAUUAGAUACCCUGGUAGUC
Molecule: ribosomal RNA, 440 nt
Filed under: uncultured bacterium
Lineage: Bacteria
Description: partial 16S ribosomal RNA
Rfam family: Bacterial small subunit ribosomal RNA
Source: RNAcentral